RNAcentral lists this ribosomal RNA (414 nucleotides) under uncultured bacterium. RNAcentral's name for it is "bacterial SSU rRNA". It matches the Rfam family "Bacterial small subunit ribosomal RNA", at positions 64 to 507 of the family's 1533-position model. The record is from RNAcentral.
GAACGAGGCCGCAAGGCCUAGUGGCGGACGGGUGAGUAACACGUGACCAACCAACCUCGAAGUUGGGAAUAGCUCUGCGAAAGCAGGGGUAAUACCGAAUGUGGCCCGGAGCGGACAUCCGCACCGGUCUAAAGAUUUAUCGCUUCGAGACGGGGUCGCGGCCUAUUAGCUUGUUGGUGGGGUAACGGCCUACCAAGGCGAUGAUGGGUAGCUGGUCUGAGAGGACGACCAGCCACACUGGGACUGAGACACGGCCCAGACUCCUACGGGAGGCAGCAGUGAGGAAUCUUCCGCAAUGGGCGAAAGCCUGACGGAGCAACGCCGCGUGUGGGAUGAAGACUUUAGGGUUGUAAACCACUGUCGGAGGGGACGAUCGUGACGGUACCCUCCAAGAAAGCCCCGGCUAACUACGUG